Molecule: transfer RNA, 72 nt
Organism: Camelus ferus (Wild Bactrian camel)
Lineage: Eukaryota; Metazoa; Chordata; Mammalia; Artiodactyla; Camelidae
Rfam family: tRNA
About the family: Transfer RNA (tRNA) molecules are approximately 80 nucleotides in length. Their secondary structure includes four short double-helical elements and three loops (D, anti-codon, and T loops). Further hydrogen bonds mediate the characteristic L-shaped molecular structure. tRNAs have two regions of fundamental functional importance: the anti-codon, which is responsible for specific mRNA codon recognition, and the 3' end, to which the tRNAs corresponding amino acid is attached (by aminoacyl-tRNA synthetases). tRNAs cope with the degeneracy of the genetic code in two manners: having more than one tRNA (with a specific anti-codon) for a particular amino acid; and 'wobble' base-pairing, i.e. permitting non-standard base-pairing at the 3rd anti-codon position.
Source: Rfam
GAGCGUACAGCUCAGUGGUAGAGUGCGUGCCUAGCAUGCACAAGGUCCCAGGUUCGGUCCCUGGUACCUACA